RNAcentral lists this ribosomal RNA (660 nucleotides) under uncultured fungus. RNAcentral describes it as "eukaryotic LSU rRNA". It matches the Rfam family "Eukaryotic large subunit ribosomal RNA", at positions 24 to 664 of the family's 3401-position model. The record is from RNAcentral. Lineage: Eukaryota; Fungi.
CCCGCUGAACUUAAGCAUAUCAAUAAGCGGAGGAAAAGAAACUAACAAGGAUUCCCCUAGUAACUGCGAGUGAAGCGGGAAAAGCUCAAAUUUAAAAUCUGGUGGUCUUUGGCCAUCCGAGUUGUAAUUUAGAGAAGUGUCUUCCGCGCUGGACCAUGCACAAGUCUCCUGGAAUGGAGCGUCAUAGAGGGUGAGAAUCCCGUCUUUGGCAUGGACACACCAGGGCUUCUGUGAUGCGCUCUCGAAGAGUCGAGUUGUUUGGGAAUGCAGCUCAAAAUGGGUGGUGAACUCCAUCUAAAGCUAAAUAUUGGCGAGAGACCGAUAGCGAACAAGUACCGUGAGGGAAAGAUGAAAAGCACUUUGGAAAGAGAGUGAAACAGUACGUGAAAUUGCUGAAAGGGAAACGCUUGAAGUCAGUCACGUCUGCCAGGACUCAGCCUCGCUUCUGCCUGGUGUACUUUCUGGUUUGAUGGGCCAACAUCAAUUUUGACCGUCGGAGAAAGGCUUUGGGAAUGUGGCACCUUUGGGUGUGUUAUAGCCCUUUGUUGUAUACGACGGUCGGGAUUGAGGACUGCAGCACGCCUUCAUGGCCGGGGUUCGCCCACGUACGUGCUUAGGAUGUUGGCAUAAUGGCUUUAAGCGACCCGUCUUGAAACACGG